Molecule: ribosomal RNA, 837 nt
Filed under: uncultured Bacteroidota bacterium
Lineage: Bacteria; Pseudomonadati; Bacteroidota
Description: uncultured Bacteroidetes bacterium partial 16S ribosomal RNA
Source: RNAcentral
CUAGAGUUUGAUCCUGGCUCAAAACGAAACGCUGGCGGCUGGGCUUAACACAUGCAAGUCGAACGCCCCGCACGGGGAGUGGCAGACGGGUGAGUAACGCGUGGGAAUCUACCCAGAACUUCGAAACNACUGAGGGAANAUUCNNCUAAUACCGGAUACGCCCUACGGGGGACCAAUUCUANNGANUCUGNAAUAGNUNNUCUUUGGAACUCUUCUUGGCCUCGCGCUCUCAAAUUCCCCUCUCCCUGAGGAUCCGUCGCUGUGAUGAGUACCUACCGCUUGCGCCUCUUGUCCCCACACCCCGAGGUCUUUGCUUUUUCGUGUGUUGUAUCUAAUCCCACAGUGGAUGGUGUCGCGCCCGCGGGCAGGCCUCCUCCCCCUCCCGGCUUCCCCCUUGCCUCCCUCACCGCUCGCUCUAAGGCUACUACUGGGACCCGAUUCUUAGAAGACGACCACCACCACUAUAGCGCAGUGUAGUGCUCAUGGGGAUGAUAGCGUACAUUUCCAAUAUACGAAGACGCCCUUCCCAUCCUUUCGAAACGGAGGUGGGCAGGACGAAGGAGCCCCGCAACCACUCACCUGAGGUGUAAUACAGCGAGCGCGACUGAACCCCAUACUAUCAGAAGUCCGGUAGUAACACGUAAACCCGCGCCUCUCCCCCUCGCCCCCUCAUCGACGUUCCGUCGCCUCUGGAUGCGGCUACCGGCCAUCCAUUAUCGAGAGAACCCUCGCACCAGUCGCCACCUGUGUGCGCAAAGUGCGGCGGGCUUUACAUGUACCUUCUCUCGCCCGGCUCGAUCUCUCUCUAUACCGAACUCUAGUAGACCCAUGCCAAGG